GACGAAGGGGGCUAGCGUUGUUCGGAAUUACUGGGCGUAAAGGGCUCGUAGGCGGCCAACUAAGUCAGACGUGAAAUCCCCAGGCUCAACCUGGGAACUGCGUCUGAUACUGGAUGGCUUGAAUUCGGGAGAGGGAUGCAGAAUUCCAGGUGUAGCGGUGAAAUGCGUAGAUAUCUGGAGGAAUACCGGUGGCGAAGGCGGCUCAACUGGCCCCGGUACUGAGCGCUGACGGUGCGAAAGCGUGGGGAGCAAACAGGG
Molecule: ribosomal RNA, 258 nt
Filed under: uncultured bacterium
Lineage: Bacteria
Description: partial 16S ribosomal RNA
Rfam family: Bacterial small subunit ribosomal RNA
Source: RNAcentral